UUAAGCUAUAAAGAGCACAAGGUGGAUGCCUUGGCACUAAGAGCCGAUGAAAGACGUGAUAAGCUGCGAAAAGCUGCGGUGAGGAGCAAAUAUCCAUUGACCCGCAGAUGUCUGAAUGGGGAAACCCGGCGGAGAAAUCCUCCGUCACCGUAUUCUGAAUCCAUAGGGAUACGGAGGGAACCCGGUGAACUGAAACAUCUAAGUAGCCGGAGGAAAAGAAAGAAAAACGAGUUUUCUUUCUUCGGAAAGAAAAUAUAUCGAUUCUGUGAGUAGCGGCGAGCGAAAACGGAAGAGCCCAAACCAGCGUGCGUGCAUGCUGGGGUUCGGACUGCAUACGUUAUGAAUGAGGUUAGCAGAACGGUCCUGGAAAGACCGGCCAGAGAGGGUGAAAGCCCCGUAAGCGAAAACCAAGUUUGGACAGCAGGAUCCAGAGUACCACGAGACACGAGAAACCUUGUGGGAAUAAGCGGGGACCACCCCGUAAGGCUAAAUACUCCUUAGUGACCGAUAGCGCAUAGUACUGUGAAGGAAAGGUGAAAAGGACCCCGGGAGGGGAGUGAAAGAGAACCUGAAACCUUGUGUUUACAAGCUGUGGAAGUACCGUCAGGGUACAACCGCGUACUUUUUGUAGAACGGUCCGGCGAGUUGUGGGUGCUGGCGAGGUUAAGUCCUUAAGGGACGGAGCCGAAGGGAAACCAAGUGUUAACUGCGCGUAAAUUAUCCAUUGGAUAAUCAGUCAGUAUCUGCAGACCCGAAACCGGGUGAUCUAUCCAUGUCCAGGUUGAAGUUGCCGUAAAAGGCAAUGGAGGACCGAACGCACAUCCGUUGAAAAGGGUGGCGAUGAGGUGUGGAUAGGGGAGAAAUUCCAAUCGAACCCGGAGAUAGCUGGUUCUCCUCGAAAUAGCUUUAGGGCUAGCCUCAUAUGAGUUCCAUGGAGGUAGAGCACUGAAUUUCCUAGGGGGCGUCAAAGUCUACCGAAGAAUAUCAAACUCCGAAUGCCAUAGGAAUGUUAUAUGGGAGUCAGACUGCACGAGAUAAGUUGGGCAGUCAAAAGGGAAAGAGCCCAGACCUACAGCUAAGGUCCCAAAGUACGUGUUAAGUGGAAAAGGAUGUGGGAUUUCAGAGACAACUAGGAUGUUGGCUUAGAAGCAGCCAUACAUUCAAAGAGUGCGUAAUAGCUCACUAGUCGAGAGGUCCUGCGCCGAAAAUGUCCGGGGCUGAAACACGGCACCGAAGCUUAGGAACGCAGGCGACUGCGUUGGUAGAGGAGCAUUCUUACCGGGAAGAAGCAGUGCUGUAAGGCAUUGUGGACUGGCAAGAAGAGAGAAUGCCGGAAUGAGUAGCGAGAUGGAGGUGGGAAUCCUCCAGGCCGAAUAUCUAAGGUUUCCAGGGUAAAGCUGAUCUGCCCUGGGUAAGUCGGGGCCUAAGGCGAGGUCGAAAGACGUAGCCGAUGGACAACAGGUUGAGAUUCCUGUACUAUCAUAUGACAGAACUGUGGGGACACAGAGGGAAAGCCUGAGCCGGGAAAGGGAAACCCGGUGCAAGCGGAGUAAGAGCCAGGUUGGAAAAACCGCCUGGCAAUCUGAAGCCGUGACGCGUACCGAAUUAAAGUAGGGAAGCAGGUGAGCCAGCUGUCGAGAAAAGCCGCUAUUGUUCAUAUGAUACCCGUACCGUAAACCGACACAGGUGGAUGAGGAGAGAAUCCUAAGGCCGGCGGGAGAAGCAUUGUUAAGGAACUCGGCAAAAUGACCCCGUAACUUCGGGAGAAGGGGUGCCUCUGAAAGGAGGCCGCAGAGAAUAGGCUCAAGCAACUGUUUAGCAAAAACACAGGUCUAUGCGAAACCGAAAGGUGAGGUAUAUGGGCUGACGCCUGCCCGGUGCUGGAAGGUUAAGAGGAGGAGUCAGGCAACGAAGCUCCGAAUUUAAGCCCCAGUAAACGGCGGCCGUAACUAUAACGGUCCUAAGGUAGCGAAAUUCCUUGUCGGGUAAGUUCCGACCCGCACGAAAGGCGUAAUGAUUUGAGCGCUGUCUCGACAAUGCACCCGGUGAAAUUGAAGUACCAGUGAAGAUGCUGGUUACCUGCGCCAGGACGGAAAGACCCCAUGGAGCUUUACUCCAGCUUGAUACUGGGAUUCGAUGCUGUAUGUACAGGAUAGGUGGGAGACUGGGAAGUGAUUACGCCAGUAAUCAUGGAGUCACUGUUGGGAUACCACUCUUGCAGCAUUGGGUUUCUAACCUGCGCCCGUGACCCGGGCGGGGGACAAUGUCUGGCGGGGAGUUUGACUGGGGCGGUCGCCUCCGAAAGGGUAUCGGAGGCGCUCAAAGGUUCCCUCAGGAUGGUUGGAAACCAUCCGAAGAGUGCAAAGGCAUAAGGGAGCUUGACUGUGACACCGACGGGUGGAACAGGUACGAAAGUAGGACUUAGUGAUCCGGUGGUAUUAAGUGGGAAUGCCAUCGCUCAACGGAUAAAAGCUACCCUGGGGAUAACAGGCUUAUCACUCCCAAGAGUUCACAUCGACGGAGUGGUUUGGCACCUCGAUGUCGGCUCAUCGCAUCCUGGGGCUGUAGCAGGUCCCAAGGGUUGGGCUGUUCGCCCAUUAAAGCGGUACGCGAGCUGGGUUCAGAACGUCGUGAGACAGUUCGGUCCCUAUCCGGCGCAGGCGUAGGAUAUUUGAGAGGAGCUGUCCUUAGUACGAGAGGACCGGGAUGGACGGACCGCUGGUGUAUCUGUUGGCUACCAAAGCCAUGGCAGAGUAGCCAAGUCCGGCAGGGAUAAACGCUGAAGGCAUCUAAGCGUGAAGCCCCCCUCAAGAUGAGAUAUCCCAAUAAGUAAGACCCCUUAGAGAGUAUGAGGUAGAUAGGCUGGAGGUGGAAGUGCAGCAAUGUAUGGAGCUGACCAGUACUAAUCGGUCGAGGGCUUAUCC
This 2924-nucleotide ribosomal RNA is filed under the name Lachnospiraceae bacterium. RNAcentral describes it as "23S ribosomal RNA". It matches the Rfam family "Bacterial large subunit ribosomal RNA". Lineage: Bacteria; Bacillati; Bacillota; Clostridia; Lachnospirales; Lachnospiraceae. The record is from RNAcentral.